This is a long non-coding RNA of Melospiza melodia melodia, 516 nucleotides long. RefSeq lists it as uncharacterized. Lineage: Eukaryota; Metazoa; Chordata; Aves; Passeriformes; Passerellidae. The transcript has 4 exons. The record is from RefSeq and is a predicted model, not a curated record.
GGUGGCUGAAGUCCAAAGCUGCAAGAUGCAGGCACACAGUUUGUUGUGAUGGGGAGUGGGGCUGCUGCCCAGCCUCAUCCCCAAUGGGCACAGCUGUGAAAAGCAGCAGCACUGUGUGUAUGGACACACAGAAGACAUUUUGAAGGGAAAAGAAAACAGUCAGGAAUGAAGUUCAGUUAUUUAUGAUGAGCAGAUGGAUUUAGAAAGUCUGCCUGCUGAAACAGAGGCAUGACUCUGCAAAUCAGGUUAUACUGAUACCUCCAUUUUCUGAGGCUCCAUAGAUAUGAUUUAUUCAUGCUAAGCUUUCUUGGACCUCAGUAAGAAUUUUUCCCAACUCUCCCCAGCCCUCUGCUGCUCUAGACUCAAAUGCUUUCUCUGCUGUGCCGUGAAGAGCAGAUGAAUUAAAGCUACGUCAGACCUUUUUGCUCAUGGUAGCCUGGGAAAGUCCUGCCUGCCAAUGGUUUUAUCUACUGACGUCUAUCUGUGGCCUUUGGAACUUACGCGGUGAAAAAAUGA